RNAcentral lists this ribosomal RNA (411 nucleotides) under Triticum aestivum (bread wheat). RNAcentral's name for it is "partial small subunit ribosomal RNA". Lineage: Eukaryota; Viridiplantae; Streptophyta; Magnoliopsida; Poales; Poaceae. The record is from RNAcentral.
AUGGACUCAUGGUGUCACCGCAAGUCCUCGCAAUCCACCAGGCAACGGCAGCACGCUUCCCAUGACUCUAGAAAACUGCAGCUCCUCUUGAUUAGCUGCAGUUUCACACCAUUGAUUUAUCAGAGAGCUACGAUUGAACAAAAGCGACUACUCAGAAGAAGAACCUCCAGAAUGGCGCCAAAGGAGGGCCUCCUCUUUGAUACAAGCCACCAGCAGAAAAAUAGGCAUCUGGAUUCCGUAUUAGUCGCUUUGGGAAAACUAAACAGACAGCACAACAUUUCACAUGCCUCCCACUUAGCCUUUGCUCUUGUGCAGCUCAUCUCCUUUAUUGCAGAUGCACAUGCAAAAUUUGUGAUGAAAAAUAUUACACAGGUACAGUCAUUAAGUGGAACUGAAUAUUCAGAAGAAUAA